This is a non-coding RNA of Taeniopygia guttata (zebra finch), 906 nucleotides long. The record is from RefSeq and is a predicted model, not a curated record. NCBI's taxonomy places the organism in Eukaryota, Metazoa, Chordata, Aves, Passeriformes, Estrildidae.
AAGAAUGUGAAUAAGGGAUAAUGCAUCUACAGAUAAGGAAAAAACCCACAAUGCUAAAAUGUGGUAGAGUAUGAGAACAUGAAUUCCUGGUGAGAAAUACAUUUUUGUUUAUAGGAAUAAUAUGUUGCAAAAUCUUCUGUAUUCUUCAGAACUUGUUUCCAGAGCAGCAUGUGAGGCUCAGGAUCAUUAAAAGUUUCUGCCAGCACUGGAACAUCUCCUGUUGAGGCACAAAAUAUAAAUUGGUGUGUGACAGGAGGAGAGGCAGCAGGGAGUGAAACAGGCUGCUGGGUGUUUGAGGCUCAUAGGUCCUGCAGCUUCUUUUCUCUGUUCUUGACAUGUACCAACUUUCUAAGAUUUUUUUUUCCUGUGACUUCUUGUUAAGUUAAGCUGUUAUUUGUUUUCAGAAUUAAAGGAAAACUGAAUGACAGAACCACAAAAUAUUUUAUGUUCUUGUGCAUACACAGGAGUGAAGAGGGUGCCAAGUCUUUUCAUGCACCAGGCUUGCUGUGCAACAUGAAGGAUUGCUUGCAUUACAACAAGAUAAUGCAGUGCAAUAGUGGUUCCUUUAUGGGUGGAAUGCUGAAAAAAUACACAUAGGAAGUCCCCAGGCUGUUUUGAUGGACUGACAGAAUUCUGCAAAUACCAGCUUUAUGUAAAUCUUUUGGAACAAAACCGGCCAACUGGUGCUCUGUCAGAGACACGUGGGCAGCAGCUUUUAUCCAUGUCUGCAGCAGCCUAACAAUGUCACCCAAACUCAGCCACUCUGCAGUGGAGGGGAGGUGCUUCUGCCUCCAAAUAAAACAUUCAGGAUGGGAGUACCAAAUCCUGAUUUUUAUAUAUUUUUUUCUUUUUUUGUUUUCUCUAUUUUCUCCAUAAUAUCUUCUGUAUUCUUCUUAGCACAUUAUG